AAGGCAUUAAUUUUGCAAGAUUUCAUGUCUCUCAGAAAAAAAGAUGAGAAAACAUACCAAGGCACUACAUGGCAGAUUAAGUUUAAUCUAGACAUGGUCAACCCACGUGGAACAUAUAACUUGAGAUUGGCUCUUGCAUCUGCAACUCAAGCCAAAUUAGAGGUCAGCACGUGCAUUUUUCAUCUUAUCGCCGAAUUACAUCAUAUAUUGAGAAUGAUGAAUAAUGCUAUUUAUGAACAUUUGUAGGUUCGAGUGAACAUUUCAGACCAUAAUCCACCACUAUUUUCGAGCGGCAUAAUAGGAAAUGAUAACGCAAUAGCGAGAUACGGGAUUCAUGGUCUCUAUUGGCUCUUUAAUGUGGACAUAAGAGGUACUCUACUCGUUCGAGGGAACAACGCAAUUUAUUUGACACAAGCAAAUGCCACAAGCCCUUUCCAAGGGAUCAUGUAUGAUUAUAUUCGUUUAGAAGGCCCACAGCGUUGAUUUGUCUCUAAAUUGAGGGAAGAUUCAAACUUUAUUUAUACUUCAGAAUUAAUGUCACCUUCUUAAUAAUGAAAUUUUUAAUUUGAAGACAGAUU
This 578-nucleotide long non-coding RNA is filed under the name Olea europaea subsp. europaea. Lineage: Eukaryota; Viridiplantae; Streptophyta; Magnoliopsida; Lamiales; Oleaceae. The record is from RNAcentral.